AUGCAAAGAGCCGCCACAAUCAACACAACACAAUACAACACAUCAAAUAUAUUAGAGUGCCUCUGGGAGAAAAUGCAUGGGGUAGUCAUCAUGCCCGCGGGACUUUUGUAUGGAACAUUCCAUGGUUUAUUAGAGAUCCGAUUUUCUAAUGUCCCGAUGUCUCAUAUCCAUGCAUGUCAAACCAUGCAUCUCUCUCCGGUUCUUUUCCUACGAUCUCCUCUACUUAUCCCGUUGAACCUAACUAUUGCUCUACAAGUGAAUUGCGGUUUAGAAGUACCGAUGGGAAAUCUGUUUGGUGAGGUUGAGUAG
RNAcentral lists this ribosomal RNA (309 nucleotides) under Triticum aestivum (bread wheat). Its description in RNAcentral is "partial small subunit ribosomal RNA". The record is from RNAcentral. Lineage: Eukaryota; Viridiplantae; Streptophyta; Magnoliopsida; Poales; Poaceae.